This 253-nucleotide ribosomal RNA is filed under the name uncultured bacterium. RNAcentral's name for it is "partial 16S ribosomal RNA". It matches the Rfam family "Bacterial small subunit ribosomal RNA", at positions 524 to 776 of the family's 1533-position model. The record is from RNAcentral.
GACGAACCGUGCGAACGUUGUUCGGAAUCACUGGGCUUAAAGGGCGCGUAGGCGGUCGAUCACGUCCGGGGUGAAAGCUUUCGGCUUAACCGGAAAAGUGCCUUGGAUACGGAUCGGCUUGAGGGAGGUAGGGGCAAGCGGAACUUCCGGUGGAGCGGUGAAAUGCGUUGAUAUCGGAAGGAACGCCGGUGGCGAAAGCGGCUUGCUGGAUCUCUUCUGACGCUGAGGUGCGAAAGCGUGGGGAGCAAACAGG